AGCAAUAAUAGCUUAAAGAAGAGCAUUGGUCUUGUAAGUCAAAGGUGAGUUAUUUUAUCUCUUAUUGCUA
Molecule: transfer RNA, 70 nt
Filed under: Tritia sp. t LAG-2017
Lineage: Eukaryota; Metazoa; Mollusca; Gastropoda; Neogastropoda; Nassariidae
Description: tRNA-Thr
Rfam family: tRNA
About the family: Transfer RNA (tRNA) molecules are approximately 80 nucleotides in length.
Source: RNAcentral